RNAcentral lists this ribosomal RNA (506 nucleotides) under uncultured bacterium. RNAcentral's name for it is "partial 16S ribosomal RNA". It matches the Rfam family "Bacterial small subunit ribosomal RNA", at positions 28 to 523 of the family's 1533-position model. The record is from RNAcentral.
GAUGAACGCUAGCUACAGGCUUAACACAUGCAAGUCGAGGGGUAACGAGAGGGAAGCUUGCUUUCCUUGUCGACGACCGGCGCACGGGUGAGUAACGCGUAUCCAACCUGCCCCCAACUAGGGAAUAACCUUGCGAAAGUAAGACUAAUACCCUAUAAUUUCCUCAGAUGUCAUCUGACGAGGAAUAAAGAUAUAUUGGUUGUGGAUGGGGAUGCGUCUGAUCGGCUUGUUGGCGGGGUAACGGCCCACCAAGGCAACGAUCAGUAGGGGUUCUGAGGUGUGAGUACCCCACAUUGGAACUACGCCACGGUCCAAACUCCGACAGUAGGCAUCAGUGAGGAAUAUUGGUCAAUGGGCGUAAGCCUAAACCAGCCGAGUAGCGUGCAGGAUAAAGGCCCUAGGUGUUGUAAACUGCUUUUAUACAGGAAUAAAGUUAGCCACGUGUGGUUAUUUGUAGGUACUGAAUGAAUAAGGACCGGCUAAUUCCGUGCCAGCAGCCGCCGUAA